UACGGGGGGGGCAAGCGUUGUUCGGAAUUACUGGGCGUAAAGGGCUCGUAGGCGGCCAACUAAGUCGGACGUGAAAUCCCCAGGCUCAACCUGGGAACUGCGUCCGAUACUGGAUGGCUUGAAUUCGGGAGAGGGAUGCAGAAUUCCAGGUGUAGCGGUGAAAUGCGUAGAUAUCUGGAGGAACACCUGUGGCGAAGGCGACCCCCUGGUUGGAUACUGACGCUGAGACGCGAAAGCGUGGGGAGCAAACAGG
This 253-nucleotide ribosomal RNA is filed under the name uncultured bacterium. Its description in RNAcentral is "partial 16S ribosomal RNA". It matches the Rfam family "Bacterial small subunit ribosomal RNA", at positions 524 to 776 of the family's 1533-position model. The record is from RNAcentral.